GCCAGCCGCGGUAAUUCCAGCUCCAAUAGCGUAUAUUAAAGUUGUUGCAGUUAAAAAGCUCGUAGUUGAAUUUCGGGGUUAGUAGGUUGGUCAUGCCUCUGGUAUGUACUGGUCUCACUGAUUCCUCCUUCCUGAUGAACCUUAAUGCCAUUAAUUUGGUGUUUUGGGGAAUUUGGACUGUUACUUUGAAAAAAUUAGAGUGUUUAAAGCAAGCUAACGCUUGAAUACAUUAGCAUGGAAUAAUGAAAUAGGACGUUCGAUCCUAUUUUGUUGGUUUCUAGGAUUGACGUAAUGAUUAAUAGGGAUAGUUGGGGGCAUUAGUAUUCAAUUGUCAGAGGUGAAAUUCUUGGAUUUAUUGAAGACUAACUACUGCGAAAGCAUUUGCCAAGGAUGUUUUCAUUAAUCAAGAACGAAAGUUAGGGGAUCGAAGACGAUCAGAUACCGUCGUAGUCUUAACCAUAAACUAUGCCGACUAGGGAUCGGAUGAUGUUAAUUUUUUAAUGACUCA
This 508-nucleotide ribosomal RNA is filed under the name uncultured Glomus. RNAcentral describes it as "SSU rRNA". It matches the Rfam family "Eukaryotic small subunit ribosomal RNA", at positions 566 to 1078 of the family's 1831-position model. Lineage: Eukaryota; Fungi; Glomeromycota; Glomeromycetes; Glomerales; Glomeraceae. The record is from RNAcentral.